GAUGAACGCUGGCGGUAUGCCUAACACAUGCAAGUCGUACGAGAGUUUUUAACUCUAGUGGCGGACGGGUGAGUAACACGUGAGAAUUUGCCUUUAGGAGGGGGAUAACAAUUGGAAACGAAUGCUAAUACCCCAUAUGCUUUUGAGUGAAACGGAUUUAUCCGCCUAGAGAGAAGCUCGCGGCUGAUUAGCUUGUUGGUAAGGUAAGAGCUUACCAAGGCGACGAUCAGUAUCUGGUUUGAGAGGACGAUCAGACACACUGGAACUGAGACACGGUCCAGACUCCUACGGGAGGCAGCAGUGGGGAAUUUUCCGCAAUGGGCGAAAGCCUGACGGAGCAAUACCGCGUGGGGGAAGACUGCCUAUGGUUGUAAACCUCUUUUUUCAGGGUAGGAAGUAAAUGACGUGUACCUGAAGAAUAAGCAUCGGCUAACUCCGUG
This 440-nucleotide ribosomal RNA is filed under the name uncultured bacterium. RNAcentral describes it as "bacterial SSU rRNA". It matches the Rfam family "Bacterial small subunit ribosomal RNA", at positions 28 to 507 of the family's 1533-position model. The record is from RNAcentral.